AGGGAGCUCGGUUGGUGAUUUCUCGGGUUUCUGGCCUUUCCAGACCCUUGUAAUUGUUUUCUCGGUGCAGAGCUCUUUUGGGGUCUGGGGGUUUCCGUCGUCCUGCGCGCGUCAUCGCGAAGCUUGGCCUGAGGGUCCGGUUUCCUAGCUACUGUGCCCCUCCCUCCUGGAGGCAGAGUGACGGACUAGUGGGCUAGCGGGCGCUGGGUUCCUGCGUCCCG
This 221-nucleotide long non-coding RNA is filed under the name Homo sapiens (human). Its description in RNAcentral is "long non-coding RNA NONHSAT160654". The record is from RNAcentral. Lineage: Eukaryota; Metazoa; Chordata; Mammalia; Primates; Hominidae.